AUUGAUAUUCCAGUCGUUGCAGGUGGAGUGUCUCAAACUAAACUAAUUAAUUAAUAGUGUUUAUCAAGAUCACUUAUCAUGAUAACCACUAUUGAUGAGUGAUGUGAGCACACUCAAUUUUAAAUUGAGUGUGCAAGUAAUACUUGCACACUGUGUUUAUAUAUUAAAACAUUUAAUUUGAGUUUGAUGGCAAGUGUACGUACGUGAAAGUCACGUGCAGGCGAAGUGAGACUCAUGCAGAAAAUUCAUGCAUGCAGUGGUUGCUCAGCUUUCCUCUUUGUCUCUUCUACGGGGCAACUUGCAUUGAGAGCCACAGGGACUCAGUCAGCGACUUAACACUAACGCUUUAUUAGAGUGGAUAUAGGACUUUGUAUUUUCUGGCAAGACGACUCAAAAAAAUCGUGAAAACGCCUUUAAAUGGCAACAAUAUUGGAAAUAUGUAAAUCAGAUGAGAAGGAGGAUGGAGCAGGAUGGAAAUACCGUGACAGUUGAAAUUUUGAAUAAAGGACUA
Molecule: long non-coding RNA, 511 nt
Organism: Folsomia candida
Lineage: Eukaryota; Metazoa; Arthropoda; Collembola; Entomobryomorpha; Isotomidae
Exons: 2
Source: RefSeq, a predicted model, not a curated record